This 1057-nucleotide long non-coding RNA is filed under the name Manacus vitellinus (golden-collared manakin). RNAcentral's name for it is "lncRNA (ENSMVIG00005013122.1)". The record is from RNAcentral. Lineage: Eukaryota; Metazoa; Chordata; Aves; Passeriformes; Pipridae.
GGUGACACGAGCGGCCCUGCCCGCUGGUGCUGGCUCCCCUGCAUUCCCCAGAGCGAUGGGGACCCUCUGCCCCAAGAACCACCGGCUGGCCAGCGGUCAGCCCCAGCAGAGCUCGAGAGGCAUUCUGGCGUUUCUGAGGGGCCUGCGGCGCUGCCAGCAGCCCUGACGCAUCCACACCACACACAUCGCUGUCACAGCUGCCAUGGCAAUAGCCUACGUGCCGGUGCCCGUGAGGGACCGCCGGCGUGGGCGCACACCUGUGCUCGCUCGGGUCCCCGUCCCACCUCACGCCUCCACCCGUCCACGGCCCCACAGCAGCCCUGGCCCCCUCUGGUGCCACAGAGUUCAGCACUGGCACAGGGGUCCCUCCCCAGCACCCCACACCCUGGCACUGCAUCAUGCCUGGUUCUGGAGCCAUGGCCAAGGCCACCAGGAUGGUGUUCUGCUGGGGUACGUGGGAAACAAAACCUGGGCUCAACUCAGUUUCCAUCUUGGCCAAAUAUGAUGCACAAAGGCAGGGUUGUGCCAGCAGCUGCUGAUGCUCUGUCUCCGCCGGAGCCUCCAGCAUACAACCAGCCCUUUUUGGAGCUGGGAUUUUCCACAGUAUCCCCAGGCAGAGUGACAUGCUGCAGUGUCCUGGUACACUCACAGCGGUUCCCGUUUCUACUGCAGACACUCAGAGCGGCAGCAUGUGGCACGGCCGGCCCGGAGCCACAGGAAAAACCUGCUCUGGAAGAGCUGUCCUGAGGAAGCAGUGUCUGGGGCCUAGGGAGCGCCAGCCCCUCCUGUGGGGUUCUGUGACUGGGGGCACCACGCUCCAUAGGGACCACGAGGUGCCAAACUGGGGAGGGGAUGUCAGGCUGGGGGAGGGUUUGUCAACACCAGAAUCAAGCGCCAAAAGGGUCCAGCAGUGACAUCCACUCCGUUGCCAAGAGCAUCCCCGGGCACUGCUCCCUGCGAGGAGCACGGGUGUCCCACCAUGACCGUUUGCCAUCCAGCUCCAGGGACCACGACAGACGCAGUGGCCCCUCCGGCACACCGCAGUGCUUGGACCCCG